GACGAACGCUGGCGGCGUGCCUAAUACAUGCAAGUAGAACGCAGUUGCGAACAGGUGCGUAACGCGUAGGUAACUGCCUCAACGCGGGGGUUAACUAUUGGAAACGCUAGCUAAUACCGCCUACUGUGAGCUGGACCUGCGGUGUAUUAGCUAGUUGGUGAGGUAAAGGCUCACCAAAGCGACGAUACAUAGCCGACCUGAGAGGGGUAAUGGCCACACGUGGACUUAGACAAGGCCCAGACGCCUACGGGAGGCAGCAGUAGGGAAUCUUCGGCAAUGGACGGAAGUCUGACCAAGCAACGCCGGGGGAGGGAAGAAGGUUUUCGGGUCGGAAAGAUCUGGUGUUAGAGGAACGGUAACUAACCAGAAAGGGACGGCUAACUACGUGCCAGCCGCCGAGGUAAUUC
This 407-nucleotide ribosomal RNA is filed under the name uncultured bacterium. RNAcentral describes it as "partial 16S ribosomal RNA". It matches the Rfam family "Bacterial small subunit ribosomal RNA", at positions 28 to 526 of the family's 1533-position model. The record is from RNAcentral.